Molecule: non-coding RNA, 200 nt
Organism: Oryza barthii
Lineage: Eukaryota; Viridiplantae; Streptophyta; Magnoliopsida; Poales; Poaceae
Source: Rfam
UUUAAGUAAAGCCAUGAGUUUUCAUGUUUAAUUUUGAUCAGCCAUUUUAUUUAAAAACAUUUUAUGAAUAACACUUUUAUUUUUAUUAGAUGAUAAAACACGAACAAUAUUUUACACGUGACUUAUGAUUUUUUUAAAAAAGUUUUAUAAAUGAGACGGACGAUCAAAAUUAAACACGGAAAUUUAUUGCUGCGUUUAAA